RNAcentral lists this unclassified non-coding RNA (190 nucleotides) under uncultured fungus. RNAcentral's name for it is "sequence contains ITS1, 5.8S rRNA gene". Lineage: Eukaryota; Fungi. The record is from RNAcentral.
UUGAAAACAAAUGGUUAUCCAUUUAAUCCGGUGAACCUGUUUUUAUUUUUUUAAACGAUGAUUUCUGCUUGGUAGGUUUUUUUUCCUCCCUGAAAAUGGGAGGAACCUGCCAUCGGUCAUCGUUUAUUAUAUAUAUACCCUUUUUUAUUUUUAACAAAAAGUCUGAAAAUAUUUAUUUAAAACAAUAUUA